CAGCAUCAAUAGGCUAUCUUAAAGGAGUUAAAUACCUUCUUAAAAAAUGUGCUUCCUGCGUCAUGGAAAGGGACAUACAUGGAUUCUUGCCAAUUCAUUUGGCUUCUUACUCAGGCCAGGUUACAGUAGUUCAAGAACUGCUCAAAUCAGAGUUCUGCCCGGACACUAGAGAGAUACUCGACAAUGGCGGCCGAAAAAUUCUUCAUCUUGCAGUUCAGAGUGGGAAGCAUAAUGUGGGUAAGUACAUCUUGCACGCCGCUAAUUCUAACCAUGAACUUGAAAACAUGAUAAAUGAAGGCUAUCUUAAAGGAGUUAAAUACCUUCUUAAAAAAUGUGCUUCCUGCGUCAUGGAAAGGGACAUACAUGGAUUCUUGCCAAUUCAUUUGGCUUCUUACUCAGGCCAGGUUACAGUAGUUCAAGAACUGCUCAAAUCAGAGUUCUGCCUUCUUCAUCUUGCAGUUCAGAGUGGGAAGCAUAAUGUGGUUAAGUACAUCUUGCACGCCGCUAAUUCUAACCAUGAACUUGAAAACAUG
RNAcentral lists this long non-coding RNA (533 nucleotides) under Lotus japonicus. RNAcentral describes it as "long non-coding RNA (LJAP_LNC001747)". Lineage: Eukaryota; Viridiplantae; Streptophyta; Magnoliopsida; Fabales; Fabaceae. The record is from RNAcentral.